UGGAAACGAUCGCUAAUACACGAUAUUGAUGGGGGGACGCAAGUCAUUCCCAUUGAAAGUUUUUCGGUUCGAGAGGGGCCUAUGGUCCAUCAGCUCGUUGGCGGGGUAAAGGCCCACCAAGGCUAUGACGGAUACCAGGCGCGAGAGCGUGACCUGGCUCAUUGGGACUGAGACACUGCCCAAACACCUACGGGUGGCUGCGGUCGAGAAUAUUCCACAAUGCACGAAAGUGUGAUGGAGCGACGCCGCGUGUUGAAAGAAGGCCUUCGGGUCGUAAACAACUUUU
RNAcentral lists this ribosomal RNA (286 nucleotides) under uncultured bacterium. Its description in RNAcentral is "partial 16S ribosomal RNA". It matches the Rfam family "Bacterial small subunit ribosomal RNA", at positions 151 to 437 of the family's 1533-position model. The record is from RNAcentral.